This 253-nucleotide ribosomal RNA is filed under the name uncultured bacterium. Its description in RNAcentral is "partial 16S ribosomal RNA". It matches the Rfam family "Bacterial small subunit ribosomal RNA", at positions 524 to 776 of the family's 1533-position model. The record is from RNAcentral.
UACGUAGGGGGCAAGCGUUGUCCGGAAUUAUUGGGCGUAAAGGGUGUGUAGGCGGUUCUCUAAGUUUGGUGUGAAAUCUCCCGGCUCAACCGGGAGGGUGCGCCGAAAACUGGGGGACUAGAGUGCGGGAUGGGAGAGUAGAAUUCCUGGUGUAGCGGUGAAAUGCGUAGAUGUCAGGAGGAAUACCGGUGGUGUAGACGGCUCUCUGGACCGCAACUGACGCUGAGACACGAAAGCGUGGGUAGCAAACAGG